AUUUCGCAGGUCUGUGGUUGCAAGUCGAUGCCAGUCGCAGGCGAAACGAUCCACGUAAGGAGGGCAAAAGAUCCUCUGAGCACGGUGCGGUUUAGAAGUAAGUCCUGCCGGGAAAACCGAGAGGGUCAGUAGUGAGAGGCGGACAGCCGGGUAGCGAACGCUCCAGCAGGCGGGUGUGGGGGCGAAAACCAGGUCAGCUGCGAAAU
This 206-nucleotide non-coding RNA is filed under the name unclassified sequences. The record is from Rfam.